UGGGGGGGGGCCUAAUAAUGCAAGUCGAGCGAAUGGAUUAAGAGCUUGCUCUUAUGAAGUUAGCGGCGGACGGGUGAGUAACACGUGGGUAACCUGCCCAUAAGACUGGGAUAACUCCGGGAAACCGGGGCUAAUACCGGAUAACAUUUUGAACCGCAUGGUUCGAAAUUGAAAGGCGGCUUCGGCUGUCACUUAUGGAUGGACCCGCGUCGCAUUAGCUAGUUGGUGAGGUAACGGCUCACCAAGGCAACGAUGCGUAGCCGACCUGAGAGGGUGAUCGGCCACACUGGGACUGAGACACGGCCCAGACUCCUACGGGAGGCAGCAGUAGGGAAUCUUCCGCAAUGGACGAAAGUCUGACGGAGCAACGCCGCGUGAGUGAUGAAGGCUUUCGGGUCGUAAAACUCUGUUGUUAGGGAAGAACAAGUGCUAGUUGAAUAAGCUGGCACCUUGACGGUACCUAACCAGAAAGCCACGGCUAACUACGUGCCAGCAGCCGCGGUAAUACGUAGGUGGCAAGCGUUAUCCGGAAUUAUUGGGCGUAAAGCGCGCGCAGGUGGUUUCUUAAGUCUGAUGUGAAAGCCCACGGCUCAACCGUGGAGGGUCAUUGGAAACUGGGAGACUUGAGUGCAGAAGAGGAAAGUGGAAUUCCAUGUGUAGCGGUGAAAUGCGUAGAGAUAUGGAGGAACACCAGUGGCGAAGGCGACUUUCUGGUCUGUAACUGACACUGAGGCGCGAAAGCGUGGGGAGCAAACAGGAUUAGAUACCUUGGGUAGUCCG
Molecule: ribosomal RNA, 780 nt
Filed under: Bacillus cereus
Lineage: Bacteria; Bacillati; Bacillota; Bacilli; Caryophanales; Bacillaceae
Description: bacterial SSU rRNA
Rfam family: Bacterial small subunit ribosomal RNA
Source: RNAcentral